Molecule: ribosomal RNA, 253 nt
Filed under: uncultured bacterium
Lineage: Bacteria
Description: partial 16S ribosomal RNA
Rfam family: Bacterial small subunit ribosomal RNA
Source: RNAcentral
UACGUAGGGGGCAAGCGUUAUCCGGAUUUACUGGGUGUAAAGGGAGCGUAGACGGACUUGCAAGUCUGAUGUGAAAAUCCCGGGCCCAACCCCGGAACUGCAUUGGAAACUGUAUAUCUAGAGUGUCGGAGAGGCAAGUGGAAUUCCUGGUGUAGCGGUGAAAUGCGUAGAUAUCAGGAGGAACACCAGUGGCGAAGGCGGCUUGCUGGACGAUGACUGACGUUGAGGCUCGAAAGCGUGGGGAGCAAACAGG